GGAAGGUGCUGCAGUUUGGAAACUAGUAUGCACAGCAGCAGAUACUGGAGACCCUGGAAACCCUGCAGAGGAUCAUCACAGAUUGACGGACGCCGGAGCCCUCCUGUCAGAGGACCCGUCACACCUCCUGUUGCACCCACAGUGACACUGUUUCAGUCAAGCAAGUUCAACAGCUACAGGAAAUAACCAGUAGUGCAAGUAAGGCGGUAUGGGCCGGUACGGCGUACCACUAAGACAUUAGUGGCUGGAACACUGUAGCACCGCCAUUACCUACAUGCCUGCAGGUAAUGACAUCACAUUCCCUGGCGCCAAGAGGAACCCAUGCUACCGGCCGCACAUCUAGACUUCAAACUCCAGCAGCUGCAGCACUCUUGCCUCGACUUCUGAAUACAUGAGCAGCUGGUGCUAUUGGCGGGGUCAGGCGGGGAGCACCCAGCAAGAAAAGUGACACUUCCGCCUCCUCAUACAGACUUUGCUAGUCAAAGACAAUUGCAGCAAGGAGUGGGAUAGGCAGAUGCCUGCAAAGGACCCACCUCACACCAUCCGCACUACAUGAACCGGAGAUCAACUAGAAACACCACCAAGAAACCCAAGUGACUUCUGACCCCAAAAUGAAGACAGAUGCUGGGAAUGGCUGACUGACUGACCUCCGGACUGAAAAUCCUCUUAUUGAAAAAAUGUAUGGAAAGCUAAUGAAGCUGCCAUUUUCACAGACACCUUAUUAUGUAAUAUGAACAUUUAUCAAAAGUGAAAGUGGUAGCUAGCGAACAUUGAUGCUGCUGCAGCAGACCCUACUGUAAUGUGGUUUAUUCAUGUUUGUAGAAUGCCAUAAUUUUACUGCCUUUCUAUACUUUCACCUGCACCUCCUAUGGCAAUCUCUUGCAAUCACCUGCACUUCCUCCUGCAAUCUCCUUCACUUCCUCCUGCAAUCUCAUGCACCUCCUCCUGCAAUCUCAUGCACCUCCUCUGGCAAUCUCCUGCACCUUCUCCUGCAAUCUCCUUCACCUCCUCCUGCAAUCUCCUGCACCUCCUCCUGCAAUCUCCUGCACCUCCUCCUGCAAUCUCCUGCACCUCCUCCUGCAAUCUCCUUCACUUCCUCCUGCAAUCUCAUGCACCUCCUCCUGCAAUCUCAUGCACCUCCUCUGGCAAUCUCCUGCACCUUCUCCUGCAAUCUCCUUCACCUCCUCCUGCAAUCUCCUGCACCUCCUCCUGCAAUCUCCUGCACCUCCUCCGGCAAUCUCCUG
This is a long non-coding RNA of Pseudophryne corroboree (corroboree frog), 1244 nucleotides long. RefSeq lists it as uncharacterized. Lineage: Eukaryota; Metazoa; Chordata; Amphibia; Anura; Myobatrachidae. The transcript is spliced from 3 exons. The record is from RefSeq and is a predicted model, not a curated record.